GGGGGUGUAGCUCAGAUGGGAGAGCGCUACAAUCGCACUGUAGAGGUCAGGGGUUCGAAUCCCCUCACCUCCACCA
RNAcentral lists this transfer RNA (76 nucleotides) under Thermobaculum terrenum ATCC BAA-798. RNAcentral describes it as "tRNA-Ala (CGC) (tRNA-Ala-CGC-1-1)". It matches the Rfam family "tRNA". Rfam says of the family: Transfer RNA (tRNA) molecules are approximately 80 nucleotides in length. Lineage: Bacteria; Bacillati; Chloroflexota; Chloroflexia; Thermobaculales (SeqCode); Thermobaculaceae (SeqCode). The record is from RNAcentral. RNAcentral also lists the same sequence under 1 other name.